RNAcentral lists this small RNA (28 nucleotides) under Bombyx mori (domestic silkworm). RNAcentral describes it as "ovarian small RNA-3483". Lineage: Eukaryota; Metazoa; Arthropoda; Insecta; Lepidoptera; Bombycidae. The record is from RNAcentral.
UCUCUCGGAUGACUCUGGAGAUCACCUC